UGAGGAAUAUUGGACAAUGGGCGCAAGCCUGAUCCAGCCAUGCCGCGUGUGUGAAGAAGGUCUUCGGAUUGUAAAGCACUUUAAGUUGGGAGGAAGGGCAGUAAAUUAAUACUUUGCUGUUUUGACGUUACCGACAGAAUAAGCACCGGCUAACUCUGUGCCAGCAGCCGCGGUAAUACAGAGGGUGCAAGCGUUAAUCGGAAUUACUGGGCGUAAAGAGCGCGCAGGCGGAUUGUUAAGUCGGACGUGAAAACUAUGGGCUCAACCCAUAGCCCGCAUUCGAUACUGAUGAUCUGGAGUCUCGGAGAGGUAGGCGGAAUUCUCGGUGUAGCGGUGAAAUGCGUAGAUAUCGAGAGGAACACCAAUGGCGAAGGCAGCCUACUGGACGGUGACUGACGCUGAGGCGCGAAAGCGUGGGGAGCAAACAGGAUUAGAUACCCCCGUAGUCCCUGAGCGGGCUGGCAAGGCGCAU
Molecule: ribosomal RNA, 472 nt
Filed under: uncultured bacterium
Lineage: Bacteria
Description: bacterial SSU rRNA
Rfam family: Bacterial small subunit ribosomal RNA
Source: RNAcentral